CUAUGUGAAUCCACAGAAGUUUCAGGUAAGCCGGUAGAUCCAAAAAUUCAGAACAUUCUAUCUGACCCCAUCAUGAGAUAGGAGUGAUUGACCCCUCAUGCAUCGUGGAACAACUUGAGGCUCAAAUUGUAAAGGUGAAAGAAGAAGCUUUUAGCAGGAAAGAGAUUCUAUAGAAGGUUGAAAGUUGGUACUCACAAACCAUGCUAAGCAACAAAUAGCAGCUCCAAAGGAGCCUCAUCCCCUUCAGUGUGUUUUGUUUAUUCCAACCAUUUCUAUAAGAUGAUGCAGCUAAUUUAUUGUCUCCAUGUUGUACUUGCAUGCCUAGAUUUGUUUCAGUACGGUUUCUACCCUACAAACCAUGAUCACAGGACCCUACUUAGUUUA
Long non-coding RNA from Magnolia sinica, 384 nucleotides. RefSeq lists it as uncharacterized. NCBI's taxonomy places the organism in Eukaryota, Viridiplantae, Streptophyta, Magnoliopsida, Magnoliales, Magnoliaceae. The transcript has 2 exons. The record is from RefSeq and is a predicted model, not a curated record.